UGAGUGAGUAACACUAAGAGGUGGAUC
RNAcentral lists this non-coding RNA (27 nucleotides) under Homo sapiens (human). The record is from RNAcentral. Lineage: Eukaryota; Metazoa; Chordata; Mammalia; Primates; Hominidae.